AGACGUCUACAUUAGAUACCCCGUGUAGUCCCAGCCGUAAACUAUGCGCGUUAGGUGUAUCGGUGACCACGAGUCACCGAGGUGCCGAAGGGAAACCGUGAAACGUGCCGCCUGGGAAGUACGGUCGCAAGGCUGAAACUUAAAGGAAUUGGCGGGGAGCACCACAACGGGUGGAGCCUGCGGUUUAAUUGGACUCAACGCCGGGAAGCUCACCGGAUAAGACAGCGGAAUGAUUGCCGGGCUGAAGACUCUGCAUGACUAGCUG
Molecule: ribosomal RNA, 265 nt
Filed under: uncultured archaeon
Lineage: Archaea
Description: partial 16S ribosomal RNA
Rfam family: Archaeal small subunit ribosomal RNA
Source: RNAcentral